This is a long non-coding RNA of Papaver somniferum (opium poppy), 2798 nucleotides long. RefSeq lists it as uncharacterized. The record is from RefSeq and is a predicted model, not a curated record. The transcript is spliced from 2 exons. Lineage: Eukaryota; Viridiplantae; Streptophyta; Magnoliopsida; Ranunculales; Papaveraceae.
AUGAAAUAGAAUUUAGUUUAGAUCUCUUCUCCUUCCUAGGCUGGUUCUCUGAAUCAGAUUUCUCUAUUUUUCAAGGGAUUACUAUCAAAUUAUCUAUCUAACCUUGUUAUGUACAUCUAGGUACAUAACAAUUGGUAUCAGAGUCGUUCGAUCCAUGGGGAUAUUUGGUAUCUAUUUAGGGAGAAAUUUCAACUCUAUAACCAUUUACUUGAUCUGAAGAGAAGAUAUCAAAAUAUACUUAACGAUGUACCUUCACCCAUUCGAAAUUAUCAUCUUUCACAAACAUAAUAUCUCAUCAACUUCACCAAGCAGAGGUGGGAAUCAAUUUACAUACCACCAUUAGCAGACCAAUUCGUUCAUGGAGUUGUGAAUACGAAAAUGGUAGAAGUGAAAGAUUAAUUUGAUGAUUUAAAAUCAACGAUGCUUACUAAAGAAGUUUUUUAUUCGAUAAUGGAGUCGUAUUUUGGUAAGCAAAACUGCAGUGGGGAAGAUCCAGUAGGAGAUUCAAAUAUUAUUUCAAAGUCAUCGGAUGAAGACUAAAUCAAUUGGAAUUGGCGACCUAAUUUCUACUUCUCUUGCUCAACCUUUUGAUUAUGAAGACUUUGGCGUUGUUACAUAGGAAGAAGCAGAUUCAAUUCCUACUUAUGUUCAACUAGAUUCUUCUUCUCAAGUCAUCGAUAAGCCUGAAUCUCAGAAAAUUAACUCAACUUCUGCUGGCGCUGUUACAGACAAGGAUGGUUCAUCUGAUUGUGUGAAUUUUCCACUUAAUGAAACCGCAAAGACAUAUAUUAAGGACUUCACCUGGAUAAAUCAUAUCAAAAUUGAGUGGUAAGGUUUAAAAAGGCACAUAAAUGGUAUGCUCACGUGCUGGAUAUGAUGGGAGCAGAAUUUUUUUCUUACAGCUCAAUCGUGAGUUGCUUAAGGUGAGUUACAAAUUGAUAUGUGAUGAUCAUUCCAUACUGGCCUUUGAUUCUGUGCGUAGAGUUUUUGAUCGCGUAAAGAAGUGUAAUUGGUCCAGAAUAUUGGCAAAUUACAGUGGCAUUUUUUUAAAUGCACUUUUUUUCAAACUUGAGUACCCAUUGAAGCUGUUGUGUGAGAGAUCGAUUACAUAUUUAUGGGUGAAAGCGGUUUAGACUGGUGUUAUUAACAAGUUAUGGUGUACGAGGUUGCGGGGUUCGGUUAUAUGGUCUAGGUUGAUACUUCAAGUGAUAAGUAUUCCUGAAUCUUAUACUGCGAGGGAAAUACUUGAUCGACUAUCUCUUAGCAGUAGAUGCAGUUUUAGUGGUUCUCUAAUCUUGCAGUUGGGAGGUGGUUCACAAAAAUCUUUGAAUGUCUGUGUUGUUGCACAGAAAUAUGGUCGUGAGUCACGGAUUCUCUCAAGGAGACUUACCUGUAAGUUUAUGUUUCUUUCACUUCGUGCACGCAAGCUGUGUGAUGUGUCUUUGCAGCGGGGAAUCGGAUUAUGCUUCCUUCGUCUUGGUUUGUGGUGUAUAGAAAGUGGUGAUGCUUUAAGUUGGAAUUUUACUGGGCUACCAGAAGGACCUAGCUCUCCAUUUUAUAGUGGUAAUGAAUAUUGUUCUGGUUGGGAAGAGUUUCUGGUGGAAGUGGCGAAACUGAAAGUGCUGCUUGUUGUGAUUCAUGGGGGUUUAUGCUUCUACGGAUACUUGAGGUGGAAAUUUAGAUUAGUUCCACCUGGUUUAUGGAGUAUGGAAGUGUUAAAAUGCCAGUUCAAUGGGUUGUCCCUAUUUACAUGAGCAGUGGUGAAGAUUAUACUCUCGACCAGGGUUUCCCAAAUGCUUCCGUAGUUCUAACUUGUGAAUGGUGGAGGGAGAGUCCAUAUGCACAUGGAGGUGAGACUUCUUCCAUGAUUGAUUUUGUGUCCUUGUGUUAUACUCAACGCAUAUCAAGGUGCUUCUAUCAACUUUUGUCGCGAGUGUGUCCACCACCAAUGGGUUGUACCCAGUUUGAGUUUUUUAAGAGGGGUAAGGAAAUUUGAUGCAAAUUGUGGUACUAAUCUCCAUUAUGUACUGAUGAGCAUCCCCAGUAAGGUUGGAGAUGUUAAAGUAUUCCACCUUGUGCUGAGGCUCCAAACUGAAGUUUUACAGGUGCACAUGUCUGUGUUGAUCAGUACUGCAGUUGUGGUGCAGCUACAUGAAGCUUGCUGUUGUAAUAUUGACGCGAUAAGUAGGAGGAUGUGGGGAAUGCUUAGAAAUUCUAGUGUUGAAGUCAUUGAUGAACACACUGGAACCAGUGACCAUAUUAUGGUCUUCAGAACAGUUGCUAAGAGUGCAUACCAUGCAGCAAUUGUGCAGGUGAUAGAGUCGCUUGUUUUUUUUUGGUAAAUGGCACAAGAAAGUCAAGUUCAAGGGCAGAUGUGACAGUUUCUUGUUGGGCUUGGGAUUGGAGUGUGUGAGUAUUGGGCUUCUCAUGUGUUUAGAAAGAUCCACCACUACUAUGUCAUUUACCGGUAUUGGAGGGGGUUCUCGUCUACAUACCCCAAUCCUUGCUACUUCUGCAUUGCUCCUGCAGUUGUCACAAGUGGCUACCUAUCUCACAAAGUUAAUUUUUGCGCCUCUCAAGGAUGCUUUCAAGGAGAGUGGAAUGUCAUGUACCGGUAUUGGAGGGGGUGCCUAUAUCAUAAUCUAGUUGGUUAUUAGUUUAGUUAUUAGUAGUACUUUUAGAUUUUAUCAAUUGUAAGGGUGCUUAUAACACUUGUGGUCUUGACCUAGCUAUAUAAGGCUAGGGAAUCUGUAUAGGAGAGAUUAUCCAAUUUAUGAAUUAAUGAAAUAGAAUUUAGU